GAUGAACGCUAGCGACAGGCUUAACACAUGCAAGUCGAGGGGCAGCAUAAAAGUAGCAAUACUUUGGUGGCGACCGGCGCACGGGUGAGUAACGCGUAUGCAACCUACCUAUCAGAGGGGAAUAACCCGGCGAAAGUCGGACUAAUACCGCAUAAAACAGGGGCACCGCAUGGUGAUAUUUGUUAAAGAAAUUCGCUGAUAGAUGGGCAUGCGUUCCAUUAGGUAGUUGGUGAGGUAACGGCUCACCAAGCCGACGAUGGAUAGGGGAACUGAGAUGUUGGUCCCCCCCACUGGUACUGAGACACGGACCAGACUCCUACGGGAGGCAGCAGUGAGGAAUAUUGGUCAAUGGGCGAGAGCCUGAACCAGCCAAGUCGCGUGAAGGAAGAAGGAUCUAUGGUUCGUAAACUCCUUUUGCAGGGGAAUAAAGUGCGGGACGUGUCCUGUUUUGUAUGUACCCUGAGAAUAAGGAUCGGCUAACUCCGUGCCAGCAGCCGCGGUAA
This 503-nucleotide ribosomal RNA is filed under the name uncultured bacterium. RNAcentral describes it as "partial 16S ribosomal RNA". It matches the Rfam family "Bacterial small subunit ribosomal RNA", at positions 28 to 523 of the family's 1533-position model. The record is from RNAcentral.